Molecule: ribosomal RNA, 595 nt
Filed under: uncultured Bacillota bacterium
Lineage: Bacteria; Bacillati; Bacillota
Description: bacterial SSU rRNA
Rfam family: Bacterial small subunit ribosomal RNA
Source: RNAcentral
CUAUCGCAUGAUAGAGGGGUCAAAGAAAUAUCGCUUAUGGAUGGGCUCGCGUCCCAUUAGGUAGUUGGUGAGGUAGAGGCCCACCAAGCCGACGAUGGGUAGCCGACCUGAGAGGGUGAUCGGCCACAUUGGAACUGAGACACGGUCCAAACUCCUACGGGAGGCAGCAGUAGGGAAUAUUGGGCAAUGGGGGCAACCCUGACCCAGCAACGCCGCGUGAGGGAAGAAGGUUCUCUGGAUUGUAAACCUCUGUCCUAUGGGACGAAGAAGUGACGGUACCAUAGGAGGAAGCCCCGGCUAACUACGUGCCAGCAGCCGCGGUAAUACGUAGGGGGCGAGCGUUGUCCGGAAUGACUGGGCGUAAAGGGCGUGUAGGCGACUUUUUAAGUCUGGAGUGAAAGCCCCGCUGUUAAGGUGGGGAGUGCUUUGGAGACUGGAGAGCUUGAGUGCGGAAGAGGUAAGUGGAAUUCCCAGUGUAGCGGUGAAAUGCGUAGAGAUUGGGAGGAACACCAGUGGCGAAGGCGACUUACUGGGCCGUAACUGACGCUGAGGCGCGAAAGCGUGGGGAGCGAACAGGAUUAGAUACCCUGGUAGU